This is a long non-coding RNA of Rana temporaria (common frog), 404 nucleotides long. RefSeq lists it as uncharacterized. Lineage: Eukaryota; Metazoa; Chordata; Amphibia; Anura; Ranidae. The transcript is spliced from 4 exons. The record is from RefSeq and is a predicted model, not a curated record.
CAGAACACACAGCUGACACAAUCCGCCCAGGCAUCAGCAGGCAGACCGUGCCUAACUCAGCCACCACACAAAGGGAAUCUGUUCCCUUGGACUUUUCCUUGGACCUUCCCUUUUUGGGUUCUCCCCUCAAUGUGUGGUUAGCUGUGUGGCUGCUCCAUCCCUGCAUCCCUGAAGGUAUCUUUAUUUCUGCAUGUUCUACACACUGGAGGUAUCACAAGAGUGAUACCUUUGGACUGUCCAUGACCUGCACCGUAUAUUGAUAUUCCAUCCAGCAGUCAUUGGUUGGACACGACUGGGAGUUCCGUGUAUGAUCACCACUGAGAUUAUAUAGUAUGCAUUCUUGUCCCUGAAGAAGCCCGAAGGGCGAAACAUGUUGGACCCCCUGCGUACAUCAUUCUGUCACC